Molecule: long non-coding RNA, 866 nt
Organism: Dermacentor albipictus
Lineage: Eukaryota; Metazoa; Arthropoda; Arachnida; Ixodida; Ixodidae
Source: RefSeq, a predicted model, not a curated record
CACGAGCCGUAUGACCGCCCGCGUGUUUUGAGGCACAUGAGUUCAUCGCAGGAACGCGUACAAGAUUCUGCCAGCACACACCAUGUGCAUGACAUCAUCAAGCCGGCACCGCUAGUCCUUCAACAUCGAAACGCUGACGGCCCGCCUCCGGUGACCACGGUGAAACCCAGCGAAGUGAAAUGGCGUAAGCCACUCUGCGGGAUCGGCCAUGUAUCGGGCGGUGAAGGAACCGUAACAUGUACCGAAGAGUAAACACAGGUAUUCAGACUACGUGGCGCACAUAUCACAUUCCGGACACGUCGCAAGAUGCUUACUUUCCCCCCAUGAUAUCCCUGAGCCCAAGUGCAUCAAGGAGGCCAGCGGAGCCUAAACCGAAAGCCGGGUGGGUUCACAUUUUAAUCAAGCAUGGUCCGUCGUUCUCCCAGCUUUACCGCAUAACUCAGCGUCUUGUACGAAGUCCACGGGGUUCCUGGCACAGGAGUAGGACUCCGUCCAUGUCCGGUACACCUGUCCGGUAGACCGCUGACCAAAUCCCCGCCUGGCCAAAACGAUGUUUCCUGUGUUUCCUGUCUGGCCGAAUUUCCGGACAGGUCAACAUGAGAUGCUGGACAUCCACGUGGUCCGCCGGGGCCGUGCAAGGAGGGCAUGCUUGAGAGAUUCGCUUAAAUGAAACAAAAUAUUGCGCAAUGAAUGUUGCGUGUUAUGGCAGUCAGCCUAGCGUAAAGAGCAAGAAAUAAAGAAGUACUUGAAGAUAAUAAUUAGGGUAAAUCGAAGGAUUGAAGUCUCUCGCCGAUUCUAAAUUCUUUCUUUAUUUUAUAAUUUGUCUCUUCUGUAUUUGAAUUGUAUCAUUUGAUCAAGGAUAAAUA